GAUGAACGCUAGCGACAGGCCUAACACAUGCAAGUCGAGGGGCAGCACAAGGAGCAAUCUGAGGUGGCGACCGGCGCACGGGUGAGUAACACGUAUGCAACCUGCCUGUAAGCGGGGGAUAACCCGUUGAAAGACGGACUAAUACCGCAUAAUACUGGAGAGUCUGCAUGGAUAUUCAGUUAAACAUUUAUGGCUUACAGAUGGGCAUGCGCAUGAUUAGAUAGUUGGAGAGGUAACGGCUCCCCAAGUCAACGAUCAUUAGGGGUUCUGAGAGGAAGGUCCCCCAACUGGUACUGAGACACGGGACCAGACUCCUACGGGAGGCAGCAGUGAGGAAUAUUGGUCAAUGGGCGAGAGCCUGAACCAGCCAAGUCGCGUGCAGGAAGAAUGUCCUAUGGAUUGUAAACUGCUUUUGCAGGGGAAUAAAGUGAGCCACGUGUGGUUUUUGUAUGUACUCUGCGAAUAAGGAUCGGC
RNAcentral lists this ribosomal RNA (474 nucleotides) under uncultured bacterium. RNAcentral describes it as "bacterial SSU rRNA". It matches the Rfam family "Bacterial small subunit ribosomal RNA", at positions 28 to 497 of the family's 1533-position model. The record is from RNAcentral.